Molecule: ribosomal RNA, 571 nt
Filed under: Beauveria bassiana
Lineage: Eukaryota; Fungi; Ascomycota; Sordariomycetes; Hypocreales; Cordycipitaceae
Description: eukaryotic LSU rRNA
Rfam family: 5.8S ribosomal RNA (bases 207-360)
Source: RNAcentral
GUCGUAACAAGGUCUCCGUUGGUGAACCAGCGGAGGGAUCAUUACCGAGUUUUCAACUCCCUAACCCUUCUGUGAACCUACCUAUCGUUGCUUCGGCGGACUCGCCCCAGCCCGGACGCGGACUGGACCAGCGGCCCGCCGGGGACCUCAAACUCUUGUAUUCCAGCAUCUUCUGAAUACGCCGCAAGGCAAAACAAAUGAAUCAAAACUUUCAACAACGGAUCUCUUGGCUCUGGCAUCGAUGAAGAACGCAGCGAAACGCGAUAAGUAAUGUGAAUUGCAGAAUCCAGUGAAUCAUCGAAUCUUUGAACGCACAUUGCGCCCGCCAGCAUUCUGGCGGGCAUGCCUGUUCGAGCGUCAUUUCAACCCUCGACCCCCCCUUGGGGAGGUCGGCGUUGGGGACCGGCAGCACACCGCCGGCCCUGAAAUGGAGUGGCGGCCCGUCCGCGGCGACCUCUGCGUAGUAAUACAGCUCGCACCGGAACCCCGACGCGGCCACGCCGUAAAACACCCAACUUCUGAACGUUGACCUCGAAUCAGGUAGGACUACCCGCUGAACUUAAGCAUAUCA